RNAcentral lists this long non-coding RNA (476 nucleotides) under Gallus gallus (chicken). The record is from RNAcentral. Lineage: Eukaryota; Metazoa; Chordata; Aves; Galliformes; Phasianidae.
GCCUGCAGCUCCUUGAUCUUCUUCUGUAACUGCAUGCCCAGGGCUUGCUCAUCCUCAAUUUUGCUCUGGAUCUGGCUGAUUUCAAAGUCUUUCUUCUUCAGUUUCUCAUCCAGCUGCUGUUUAUCAUUUUCCAAGUCCAUUGUGGAUUCCUGAGUCAUUUUCAGGUCUCCUUCAAGUUUCCUCUUAGCUCUCUCAAGGUCCAUGCGCAGCUUCUUCUCUUGCUCCAGGGACCCUUCCAGAUCGUCUACUUGCUGCUCCAGCUUGGUUUUAGCUUUGGUCAGCGUAUUGACUUUGUCCUCUUCAGCCUGCAGGUCAUCCAGUGUCUGCUGAUGGGCCUCUUGGAGGGCUUUCUUCUCUUUUGUCAGCUUGGCAAUGUUCUCGUCCAAGGCUGCCAUCUCCUCUGUGAGGUUUUUCACCUUGUUUUCAGUGGCAUGCUUUUCCUUCUCAACUUUGGCCAGUGUUAACUCCAGGUCAUC